RNAcentral lists this ribosomal RNA (272 nucleotides) under uncultured bacterium. RNAcentral describes it as "partial 16S ribosomal RNA". It matches the Rfam family "Bacterial small subunit ribosomal RNA", at positions 338 to 602 of the family's 1533-position model. The record is from RNAcentral.
CCUACGGGAGGCAGCAGUAGGGAAUCUUCCACAAUGGACGUAAGUCUGAUGGAGCAACGCCGCGUGAGUGAAGAAGGGUUUCGGCUCGUAAAGCUCUGUUGGGAGUGAAGAAAGAUAGAGGUAGUAACUGGCCUUUAUUUGACGGUAAUUACUUAGAAAGUCACGGCUAACUACGUGCCAGCAGCCGCGGUAAUACGUAGGUGGCAAGCGUUGUCCGGAUUUAUUGGGCGUAAAGCGAGUGCAGGCGGGUCCAUAAGGGUGGUGUGGAAGCC